UACGGAGGAUCCGAGCGUUAUCCGGAUUUACUGGGUUUAAAGGGUGCGUAGGCGGCCCUGCAAGUCAGCGGUGAAAUGUGGCGGCUCAACCGUUUCGCUGCCGCUGAUACUGUGGGGCUUGGAUGCGGUCGAGGCGGGUGGAAUCCGGGGUGUAGCGGUGAAAUGCAUAGAUAUCACGAGGAACGCCGAUAGCGAAGGCAGCUCGCCGGGCCGCGAUCGACGCUGAGGCACGAAAGCGUGGGGAUCAAACAGGAUUAGAUACCCUGGUAGUCCACGCCGUAAACGAUGAUGGCUGGGUGUGCGCCCGCGAGGGCGCGUGCCUGAGGGAAACCAUUAAGCCAUCCACCUGGGGAGUACGGCCGCAAGGCUGAA
RNAcentral lists this ribosomal RNA (372 nucleotides) under uncultured bacterium. Its description in RNAcentral is "bacterial SSU rRNA". It matches the Rfam family "Bacterial small subunit ribosomal RNA", at positions 524 to 898 of the family's 1533-position model. The record is from RNAcentral.